GGGCGAUAGGUGAAGGAUCUACAAAAGAAAGCCAAAUCAGAUUUGGAAAAAGUUUUCAAAAAAGCCAAAAGAUGGCUUCUCACGUGGUCUGUGGGUACUGUGGAAAGGCAAAUCAUGUAUAAAUCGAUUGUUGGAGAAAGGGGCGGAAAUGUUUAAUCUGCGGAAGUGGCGAUCAUCAAGUUAGCAACUGUCCGAGGAGACAGUCACGUGAAAGCAAUACUCUGC
This 225-nucleotide long non-coding RNA is filed under the name Coffea arabica (coffee). RNAcentral's name for it is "long non-coding RNA (CARA_LNC002292)". Lineage: Eukaryota; Viridiplantae; Streptophyta; Magnoliopsida; Gentianales; Rubiaceae. The record is from RNAcentral.